This 454-nucleotide ribosomal RNA is filed under the name Crocidura jouvenetae. RNAcentral's name for it is "partial large subunit ribosomal RNA". It matches the Rfam family "Bacterial large subunit ribosomal RNA", at positions 1929 to 2563 of the family's 2925-position model. The record is from RNAcentral. Lineage: Eukaryota; Metazoa; Chordata; Mammalia; Eulipotyphla; Soricidae.
GGCCGCGGUAUCCUGACCGUGCAAAGGUAGCAUAAUCAUUUGUUCCUUAAUUAGGGACUUGUAUGAAUGGCCCCACGAGGGUUUGACUGUCUCUUACUUUUAAUCAGUGAAAUUGACCUCCCCGUGAAGAGGCGGGGAUAUGAAAAUAAGACGAGAAGACCCUAUGGAGCUUAAAUUAAUAUAUUCAACAGAUUUUAAAUCGUACCCAACAGGGAUAAUUAUAAUUAAACUGAAUAUAAAAUUUUGGUUGGGGUGACCUCGGAGAAUAAACAAGCCUCCGAGCAAUUUAACUAAGACUAACCCGUCAAAGUCACAUUACUUAUUGAUCCAAUCCUAUUGAUCAACGAAACAAGUUACCCUAGGGAUAACAGCGCAAUCCUAUUUGAGAGUUCAUAUCGACAAUAGGGUUUACGACCUCGAUGUUGGAUCAGGACACCCUAAUGGUGCAGCAGCU